CUCUGAUUUUGCUCAACUUUCUCAGAAAAGUUGCUUACCAUCAACUCUCCAGUGGUACAAAGGCAUUCCAGGUGUGUUCUGCAGUAUUUAGGCUAUAUUAUUUUCUCAUUGUUCUGCCAAGAAUUCUUUUUCUCAGUUCUCCCAGGAUUCCAGAAGUGACAAUCUUUUGUGACUCUUUUAAAAAGGACUAUUUAAAUCUCACCUGCAUUGAAGGCUGCCUUUUGUCACUUUCCAUUAUUCAAAUAGGAAGAAAUGUAUUUUUUAUAUUAGAAAUACAAAAAAAGAAGAUGAAGUAAGUAGAGCCCCAUGUAAAUUAUCUUAUACUUCCAGGGUCUCCCUUCAUCUCUGAGUCAAGACGUUUGUUUUAUCUUCAGGGGCUGUGCUCCGAAGCUGUUCAGCAACACAGAAUGUGUCUUGAGGCUUCCUAGGAAAUGAAAAAAAGAAGAAGAAGAAGAAGAAGAUCAUUUUCAGCCUCUAAAGCUAAGCCCUGACAAAAAUAUCAGGAAUUCAAAGAAACGAUGUAAGGAGCACUGGGAUCUCUUUUACUCUAGCUCCUUUAUUGCUAAUUUUUAUAGUUAUCUUCUAAAUGAAGAAUCAGAGCUUAUGCUCUUUUUUAAACUUUCAAUGGUAGCUAUUUUUAUCCUCUAUGUCCUGGCCACCUAUACCUCACUUGAAAUUCCAAAUGGAUUUUGAGGCAUGUGAACUGGUCACAAAACCUUUAGGGCCAAAGCCAUUCAUCCUACUUGGUACUUAGGUAAAGAUCUAUCAUCUUGAUUAUUGAAAUUAACAUUCCUCAUUAGACUACUCCAUCAUGUGCCUGAUUAUUUCCAUUGAUAACUCUCCAUUGACUUUGGGAGCUCUAUUAAACUUCUUUUGGCUAAAGCCCUUGAUAUUUUCUCAUUGAAGAGUUUUGGAGUUAUUCUGCCUUUGUAUAUAAAAAAAUCUUUAAGGGAUGAAAUAUUAUUUGACUUACUGAUUUAGAAUUUCAUAUUUUGGUUAGGCAACAGAGGUGUUUUCUUGUUAUUUGGCAAACAUUUGACAUCUCUUGCUGACAAUAUCCUUUUCCCCUUCAAAGCCAUUUCCAAGAGAGCCUUCUCAUUUGUAUUCCAGCAAAGUGUAACUCCUGGGAAAAGAGUUUUGCAACAUAGUUCUGCAGGAUGAAAUGAGAGCUGGUUAGCUAUGAUCUUUAGCGAGGUUUGCCUAAUGAACACUGGAUCCAAGAGCUGUUAAGUCUA
This 1235-nucleotide long non-coding RNA is filed under the name Marmota monax (woodchuck). Lineage: Eukaryota; Metazoa; Chordata; Mammalia; Rodentia; Sciuridae. The record is from RNAcentral.